GUUAUAGGGUCAAGCGAACAAGUGCAUGUGGUGGAUGCCUUGGCGAUCACAGGCGAUGAAGGACGCGGUAGCCUGCGAAAAGCUACGGGGAGCUGGCAAACGAGCUUUGAUCCGUAGAUGUCCGAAUGGGGAAACCCGGCCCUUUUGGGUCAUCCUAGACUGAAUACAUAGGUCUAGUGAGGCGAACGCGGUGAACUGAAACAUCUAAGUAACCGCAGGAAAAGAAAUCAACCGAGAUUCCCAAAGUAGUGGCGAGCGAAAUGGGAAGAGCCUGUACUCUUUAUUUGUAUUGUUAGCCGAACGCUCUGGAAAGUGCGGCCAUAGCAGGUGAUAGCCCUGUAGGCGAAAACAGUAUGAAAGAACUAGGUGUACGACAAGUAGGGCGGGACACGUGAAAUCCUGUCUGAAGAUGGGGGGACCAUCCUCCAAGGCUAAAUACUCGUGAUCGACCGAUAGUGAACCAGUACCGUGAGGGAAAGGCGAAAAGAACCCCGGGAGGGGAGUGAAAUAGAUCCUGAAACCGCAUGCAUACAAACAGUCGGAGCCUCUUCGGGGGUGACGGCGUACCUUUUGUAUAAUGGGUCAGCGACUUACGUUCAGUAGCAAGCUUAACCGAAUAGGGCAGGCGUAGCGAAAGCGAGUCCGAAUAGGGCGUUCAGUUGCUGGGCGUAGACCCGAAACCAGGUGAUCUAUCCAUGGCCAGGAUGAAGGUGCGGUAACACGUACUGGAGGUCCGAACCCACUAACGUUGAAAAGUUAGGGGAUGAGCUGUGGAUAGGGGUGAAAGGCUAAACAAACCUGGAAAUAGCUGGUUCUCUCCGAAAACUAUUUAGGUAGUGCCUCGUGUCUCACCUUCGGGGGUAGAGCACUGUCAUGGUUGGGGGGUCUAUUGCAGAUUACCCCGCCAUAGCAAACUCCGAAUACCGAAGAGUGCAAUCACGGGAGACAGACAUCGGGUGCUAACGUCCGGUGUCAAGAGGGAAACAACCCAGACCGCCAGCUAAGGUCCCCAAAUAUGGCUAAGUGGGAAACGAAGUGGGAAGGCUAAAACAGUCAGGAGGUUGGCUUAGAAGCAGCCACCCUUUAAAGAAAGCGUAAUAGCUCACUGAUCGAGUCGUCCUGCGCGGAAGAUGUAACGGGGCUAAGCCAUAUACCGAAGCUGCGGAUGCGAGCUAGUCUCGCAUGGUAGGAGAGCGUUCCGUAAGCCUGCGAAGGUGCGUUGAAAAGCGUGCUGGAGGUAUCGGAAGUGCGAAUGCUGACAUGAGUAGCGAUAAAGGGGGUGAAAGGCCCCCUCGCCGUAAGCCCAAGGUUUCCUACGCAACGUUCAUCGGCGUAGGGUGAGUCGGCCCCUAAGGCGAGGCAGAAAUGCGUAGCUGAUGGGAAGCAGGUCAAUAUUCCUGCACCGUCGUUAGAUGCGAUGGGGGGACGGAUCGC
This 1434-nucleotide ribosomal RNA is filed under the name Burkholderia mallei. RNAcentral describes it as "bacterial LSU rRNA". It matches the Rfam family "Bacterial large subunit ribosomal RNA", at positions 1 to 1480 of the family's 2925-position model. The record is from RNAcentral. Lineage: Bacteria; Pseudomonadati; Pseudomonadota; Betaproteobacteria; Burkholderiales; Burkholderiaceae.